Molecule: long non-coding RNA, 4565 nt
Organism: Haemorhous mexicanus (house finch)
Lineage: Eukaryota; Metazoa; Chordata; Aves; Passeriformes; Fringillidae
Exons: 4
Source: RefSeq, a predicted model, not a curated record
GAGAGAAAAGAGUCCAGAAUUGUUUUACUCAAGUUUUUACCUGAGAUGACUUGGAAACUUGGUGGAUACCUGAAGCCCAUUCUGGAGGCAUCAUUUUGGUUCUGAGGGCUGCACUCAGAGCCUGCCCAGUGAACACCUCCUGCCAAGGACAGGCAGGACAAAGUUCUCCAGUUCACCUGGAUGGAGCUCAGGGCCCUGGAGCAGCCACUGCACAGACAGGACACUGCAGCACCUGGCCACAAAGAAAGCUUCCUGACCAGCACACCAGGAAUGAAAUGAGGCAAUUUAACUGAAAGAGCACACUUUGAAGGAGACAGUAAAAGCUGCCACAUACAAGAUUUAAAAGACCUGAGGAAGAAGAGGAACUACUUUGACACCAGGCUCGAGAAGAUGGAUUCUGUCCAGGAAAUCACACUCCAUCAGCUUCUGGCAAGCAAGCAGGGAUGGACAAAGACCCUACUUUUUUUUUGGAGGGGGAGGAUGUAAAAGAACAUCGAGGAGAAAGGACAAAGAGGGACCACAACAAUGCAAGCAUCUGGUGAAAGAGCAGAGCAGUGGCAUCUUCCAGGUUCCUCAACCAAAAAAUACAUCCUUUGUGUGACUAACCAGAGGCCAAACCUGUGGAGAUCCAGCAAGCUGCACAAAGAAAUUCUUCUGCAACAUGCUUCACCAUGCAGCUGAAAUAGUCUUUAGAUUGUUGAAUAAAACAACCAAAAUGUCAGUCCACUGUGGGAUGGAUACUCCUUACAUGAAGAACCAUUUGAGCUCUGUGGCAACCUGUGAAGUGUGACUGUAUCAGAGAGGAUUCUCUGCAGAAGGUAGAGCUGGUUAAAUUAAUGAAAGAUAUUCCAGGAUGGAGACCUGCAGAAGGCCAGCAGGCAGCAGAUCUUGUUCCAGGGACAAACUCCACUUUACCACCCCCAGCUCAGCAUGUGUUCCCUGACUGGGGCAGAUACACAAGUGGCAGAAAUCUCACCUGCAGAAGAUCUGGCACUGCCCCUGGAACACAAAGGGGUCUGACAGUGAAGAUCACUGCAGGAGCUGAUUUCUCACCAUUCCCCUUUACACCCCUUGAGCCAGCAGGGAAACACAAAUGGCUCUUGAUAGGCAAAACUGCUGCCAGAAGUGUUCUUUGGAGGAGUCAGAAAUGCACACGUAUGCCUUAUUAGCCACUCACACAAGGACAAAGCAGACAAACUCAAUUUCAUUUGGUUUUUAUUUGAAGCCUUAGAUUUCAAGCACUUUUUUCAUGUCAGUCCAACUGACCUUGACACUUCUGUAUUUGUGAGGGAGUUUAGGUGGAGUCCAAAGAUAAAAUUUUCUCUUUUGUUUCUUGCUUCCUGUUCCUGAUACUUCAAACUGGUGAAUACAGAGUAUUUUUGUGAUAAUCUUACCAAACAAAUUGUAUGACAGAUUUUAGAUAGUAGAUAAAUGUGUAUAUCACCAUCUGAAUCUAUUUUACAGCUGCAAGUCAUACAUAUUCUUUGGGCUUUAACCCACAGUAUUUUACUUUAAACAAUAUUAGUUGUAUGGCAGAUAAAUAAACACAGGAAGAGAAAAUUUAUCUACAUUUUCAAUGAAAGGUUCAUGAAGUCCCUGAUAUUAGGCCAUUAAAAUAACAGAACUACAAAUGAGGACAUACUCAAGUAAGCAAUGAAAAGCAUAAACAGAAGAGAAAAAAACCCUUCAAAUUAUCUUUCCACAGCACAGAAAUGAUACUGGGCUCAACCCCUGUGUUCUCCUGGGUAAGCCACUCCCAUGGGGUUCAAGAGCACUCUGCUGGCAUUUGAGGAUCUGGAGGUGAGGAGGAAUACAACAGCACACCUUUACUUUCAACCAAGCAACACAGAAAGCUCCCAGCUGAAAAAUUAAACAGGGAGCUCCAGGAAAAGAGCUGGCAAAACAGAACUGCCCAAGACCUGAUGUCCCAAAAGCACAGGAGCACAGCCAAGCACUGAAAUGCCCACAAGGAGCUGUGACCUCUGAGUUCUGCUGUGAUGGAUCAGCCUUCCAGACACAAGAUCUGGACUACAGGAUGGGCAGCACUGUGCUCACGUUGCACAGACAGGGUGAACACAACUCCAGCUGAUAGCAAUGGAAACUGAAAGUGCUCCUCUGGCUAAGUCAGUCCUCUAAUUGAUUACUGAUGGCAUCUUCUCAUCUAAAAACUCAACAUGUCUAGAAAAGACCAAUGAGAAAGACAAAACUGAUUUUAGUGAAGUCCUACAAGCUAGACAAACAACACAGCACAAAAUCUCUUCCCCAGGAGGGCUGUCCCAGCAGGGCUCAGCCACCCAGGGCAGUGGGAGAGUCCCCAUCCCUGCAGGGAUUUAAAAGCUGUGUGGAUGUGACACUUGGGGACAUGGUUGAGAGGUGGCCUUGGCACUGCUGGGUUAAGGGCUGGACUGGAUGAUCACAGGAAUCUUUUCCAACCUAAUGGUUCUGUGGUUCCACAGCAGCAGAGCAGAGCAGGCUGUGCCUUUUCAUGCACAAGCACACAGUUCAGGGCAAAGGAGGUGACAUUACACAGGGAUUAAGAAGAGUUUACCACAGCCACACCCUCUCUGUAAUCUACUGCACAGGCAGGGUAAAAGGGAUCAGUUUUGGGUGGAGUUAUUACAAAAAUUAUGUGCUGAAGAGGUUUUUUUUGAAGGAAGCAUUUAUUUCAAUUAAUAAAAGACACAAAGAGUAAUAAUUAAUUUACUGUCUCAGAAUAGUAGGGCAGAGGAGGGAUUUGACUAUUUAAGCAGUACUGCUUCUACAAAGAAGAAAAUCCAGUUCAGAGAAGUGACAGGCAUCCUCUCUGAAAUCUUCUCAAGAAAUGAACUACCCCAUGAAAUCACAGGUCAGUAAAUGAAUGACACCUUCACAGACAUGACCACAAUUUGUCAAAUCAGUAUUUUUACCAAAUUUUGUACCUGGCACAGGGAUGUUUCUCAUUGUACAAGAGCAGAACCUGGCCCAGCUGAUUUGACUGAGCAUCUGUUAUCACAGAUAUUUGGAAGACGUGACCAGAUUCUGACCAUAUGUCACACCACAGACAAGCACUUUUCUUUUUAAAAGAAAUUCACAGUCUUGAGAUUGUAGCUUCUACUGGUCCCUGACAGGCAGGCACUGAUGAUGACAGCACCUUGCUCUGCCACUGGGUUGCAACUCAAAACCAUCAGGUGGAGGAAGAUGGACUUGAUAUUUAUUAUUUAUAUUAUAACUAACAGUAAAAUUUUACUAAUAUAUAUAUUAGUAUAAUAAAAUAAUAUACAUUAUUAGAAUAUAUUAUAUAUUAUAUAAUAUAUUAUACAUAUUAUAUUAUAUAUAUCAUAUAGUAUUAUAUACUAAAUAUUACAUUAUAUAAUAUACAUUAUAUUAGUAAAUAAAUAAAUGAAAUAGUAUAAUUAUAAUAUUAUAACUGAUUAGUAUAUAAAUUAAGGAACUACCUGCAGCCAAAAUGUGAUUCUCUACAUGCAAGAAAUCUCCUGGAAAAGCACUGUGAUGUCAACAGAAAUACUGGCUGCAUGAAGGUAGCCAAAUUAUUACUAAAUAUGCUUCCUGACAGCAUGGUUGAAAAAGGAAGAAAUUCCAGGCACAGCUCAUCUCCUUGAAAAGGAGUCAGCAGCUGCCAAGGGCUCUGCCUGCCUUGCCCUGUUCAAGGUUUUUCAUCACUUCUGAGUGCCAUGGGCAGGAUCUUGCUGCCAAGUUCAGUGCCCAGAGAGCAGUAAAAACCUGGAGGAAGGGGCUGCUGGUCUUUGGGAUGUAUUUACACCUAUUUACAGAAGGGAUUUUUGGUCCACAGGCUCUCUGGGAAACAUCUAUUGAAGCAAGGUCAUAGGUUUAGCACUAGUGUGCCUCAGGGGGUGAUACAGGGCACACAUGACAUGUAAAUCCUCAGGACUAGAGCUCUAAACUACAAUGGUCAGCUGGAAUUGUUUUCCCUUGAUGUUUUUACUGUAGGAAAAAAAGAAACAUUGCAUGAACAGGAGCCUGAACUCAAAAAGACCUUUUUCUCUGGCUAUAGGGGAUCCCUUCAAAGAUGAGCAGACUGAUCCAACUCUGAAAUUUCCUCUCACCAGCCACUGUGAUUUCCUAUUUUCAUGAGUAAGGCAGUUCCCACAAAGAUGAGAGUGUUUUUCAGAGCAAUGCUAUUAACAGACAUCCUUCUGCUUGGCUUUUGUUUGUGUGGGUGCUUUUAUUUAUUUUGCUAUCCUUAACAGUGAAAAAGCUAAUUUGAAAGCAUUAGGGUUUGCUGUCUUCAUAGCACAAAACUGACAGAUGUUUCAUGUGUUUGAAAUAAACCCCAGUGAUAUUCCUGGGCUGCCUUCAAUGAGUUUUGGCUUUUAUUUUUCAUAGCAGGGGAAACUACAGGGUUGAGGUGCAGGUUUGGAGGAUUCUGCAGAGUUGUGUAUUUUGUGCAGUCUCUACAAAGUUUACCUGAUGUGCUGGUGUUCACAGGGGUCCCAGGAUGAGGGAAGAGAUGAGAAUCUCCACUCCAUGUGUCAGAAGGCUGAUUUAAUAUUUUAUGAUAUAUAUUAUAUUAAAAGAAAAUGAUUUAUUAAAACUAUACUAAAGAA